AGCGGUUGUUAUGGAAGUAAGCUGAAGCUUCUGUUGUGGUGCGACUCUCUUUCCUGGAGGAUUAAGGGCGUAUACUAUCAUUCUUUUCAUUGUCUGUUGGUAUUCAAUAAUCCGAGGGAGCGGCCUUUCACCUUUGAGGAGAUAAAUGAAGUUCGAGAAAAAUUGGCAAACUUCAUCACCAGUGAUUGUCUUUGAUAUUUUCUUGUAAACUGAAUCUUAAAUUAUGAAUGUUAGUUUUUCAUAUGAUUGUAAUGUAAUUGACUUUUAUAUUUAUAAUUAUAUACUAUUUAAUUUAAUUAUCUAUAUAAUUGGAUAAUUUUUAUGUGA
Molecule: long non-coding RNA, 327 nt
Organism: Spinacia oleracea (spinach)
Lineage: Eukaryota; Viridiplantae; Streptophyta; Magnoliopsida; Caryophyllales; Amaranthaceae
Exons: 2
Source: RefSeq, a predicted model, not a curated record